RNAcentral lists this ribosomal RNA (202 nucleotides) under uncultured Gemella sp. RNAcentral's name for it is "partial 16S ribosomal RNA". It matches the Rfam family "Bacterial small subunit ribosomal RNA", at positions 163 to 355 of the family's 1533-position model. Lineage: Bacteria; Bacillati; Bacillota; Bacilli; Caryophanales; Gemellaceae. The record is from RNAcentral.
CUAAUAACCUGAUAAGAAAGAAACUACGCAUGAGAGAAAAUACGAAAGUCGGAGCAAUCUGACACUAUAAGAUGGCUUUGCGGUGCAUUAGCUAGUUGGUAGGGUAAAAGCCUACCAAGGCGACGAUGCAUAGCCGACCUGAGAGGGUGAUCGGCCACAUUGGGACUGAGACACGGCCCAGACUCCUACGGGAGGCAGCAGU